GUGUGUCUAGGGCUGAAAGGUUGGACUCCACGAUGGGCUUGGACUCAUCCAGCCUUUGGCUGAGCUAUCUGUUACCUGGCAUUUCUAGGCUUGUGAGGGGAUUCUGAGACUCCUCCAUUUGUGACUGGUUUUCCUCUUAGUUUAAAAGCCUUGUGAAGAGUUUGCCCUGAUCUUUGAUCCAACAAUCUGGACGGCUCUUGGCUUCAGAGAGGUGGAUUCUUCACCACUGUGCCACCCAGGAAGCACAAUGAGUCCCCAAAUUCAUGUCCACCCAGAACCUCAGAUUGUGACCAUGAAGGUCUUUGUCGAUGUAGUUAUGUUAAGCUGAGGUCAUGCUGGAGUAGGGUGGUCCCUAAACCCCCGAUACAAGACUGAUUUCCCUGCAAGGGGUCACAUGAAGAUGGAAACAGAGAUUGGAGUGAUGCAGCCACUAGCCAAGAGGCCCUGAGCAGUGCCGGAAGCCAUCAGAAGCCAACAGAGAGGCCUGGGGCCGAGUCUUUUCCAUAGCCUCCAGUUGUGUGACACUUUGAUUUGGGACUUCCAGCCUCCAGAACUGUGAAGGAAUAAACUUUCUGCUGUUGUAAGUC
Dama dama (fallow deer) is the source of this 587-nucleotide long non-coding RNA. RefSeq lists it as uncharacterized. NCBI's taxonomy places the organism in Eukaryota, Metazoa, Chordata, Mammalia, Artiodactyla, Cervidae. The record is from RefSeq and is a predicted model, not a curated record. The transcript is spliced from 2 exons.